Molecule: ribosomal RNA, 505 nt
Filed under: uncultured bacterium
Lineage: Bacteria
Description: partial 16S ribosomal RNA
Rfam family: Bacterial small subunit ribosomal RNA
Source: RNAcentral
AGUGAACGCUGGCGGUAGGCCUAACACAUGCAAGUCGAACGGCAGCACAGGAGAGCUUGCUCUCUGGGUGGCGAGUGGCGGACGGGUGAGGAAUACAUCGGAAUCUACUUUUUCGUGGGGGAUAACGUAGGGAAACUUACGCUAAUACCGCAUACGACCUCGGGUGAAAGCAGGGGAUCUUCGGACCUUGCGCGAUUGAAUGAGCCGAUGUCGGAUUAGCUAGUUGGCGGGGUAAAGGCCCACCAAGGCGACGAUCCGUAGCUGGUCUGAGAGGAUGAUCAGCCACACUGGAACUGGGACACGGUCCAGACUCCUACGGGAGGCAGCAGUGGGGAAUAUUGGACAAUGGGCGCAAGCCUGAUCCAGCCAUACCGCGUGGGUGAAGAAGGCCUUCGGGUUGUAAAGCCCUUUUGUUGGGAAAGAAAUCCAGCUGGUUAAUACCCGGUUGGGAUGACGGUACCCAAAGAAUAAGCACCGGCUAACUUCGUGCCAGCAGCCGCCGUAA